RNAcentral lists this ribosomal RNA (602 nucleotides) under uncultured bacterium. RNAcentral's name for it is "bacterial SSU rRNA". It matches the Rfam family "Bacterial small subunit ribosomal RNA", at positions 158 to 753 of the family's 1533-position model. The record is from RNAcentral.
UUGCCCUAAUCAUGGUCAUAAUCUACGGAUGAAAGUGGGGGAUUCGCAAGGACCUCAUGCUUUUGGAGCGGCCGAUAUCUGAUUAGCUAGUUGGUGAGGUAAAGGCUCACCAAGGCAUCGAUCAGUAGCUGGUCUGAGAGGACGACCAGCCACACUGGAACUGAGACACGGUCCAGACUCCUACGGGAGGCAGCAGUGGGGAAUUUUGGACAAUGGGGGCAACCCUGAUCCAGCAAUGCCGCGUGAGUGAAGAAGGCCUUCGGGUUGUAAAGCUCUUUUGUCAGGGAAGAAACGGUGGUCUCUAAUAUAGAUUGCUAAUGACGGUACCUGAAGAAUAAGCACCGGCUAACUACGUGCCAGCAGCCGCGGUAAUACGUAGGGUGCAAGCGUUAAUCGGAAUUACUGGGCGUAAAGCGUGCGCAGGCGGUUAUGUAAGUCAGAUGUGAAAUCCCCGGGCUUAACCUGGGAAUGGCAUUUGAGACUGCAUGGCUAGAGUGUGUCAGAGGGGGGUAGAAUUCCACGUGUAGCAGUGAAAUGCGUAGAGAUGUGGAGGAAUACCGAUGGCGAAGGCAGCCCCCUAGGAUAACACUGACGCUCAUGCA